GGCACUUCACAGCCUUCUGUGCUUAGGAACUCUAUACAGCACUUCAGCAAUAGAUUUGGGGGCCACUUUAAACAGCAAAAUCACCAACGGAAAGCAAAACAUGUGAUGGCUCGGCACAGUGGCAUGUGCCUAUAGUCCCAGCUACUCAGGAGGCUGAGACAGGAGGGUCACUUGAGCCCAGGAGUUUGAGUCCAGCCUGGUCAACAUAGAGAGAUCCUGUUUCUAAAAACAAAAAAAUCAUGGCACCAAAUAGACCAUGGAAAGGACACUCGUUUACAGUACGAGAGUUGAAACAAGAAGGCAGAAUCUUGUCUUGUUUGGCCUCAGCUGGCAACGUUCCCGUAGGGUGACUCAAGUAUCUCGUUACUGUGCAUGUUCAAAAGUGACUACAAAGGUGCUAUGACUACUUCGAGGUUACAAAUAAGUUUCAGCAAUAGGCAAAUUUGCAAACAGAAUCUGUGAAUAAUGAGGACUGACUAUAGUUAAAGAUUAUGGAGAGAAUGUUUUCAGUCAAAACCCAUCAAACCUGUACAUAAAGUUUGAUGAGAGGCAGAUCACACGAAUGAUUUUUGGAAAUGCAAGACUACCACCUGCAAACAAAACUAGGAUCCCACAUUUAAUUGGAUGGGGCAACAAGAGUAUCCCCUCCGCCAGGCGCGGUGGCUCACGCCCAUAAUCCCAGCACUUUGGGAGGCCAAGGUGAGUGGAUCACUUGAGGUCAGGAGUUUGAGACCAGCCUAGCCAACAUGGUAAAAUCCCAUCUCUACUAAAAAUACAAAAAUUAGCCUGGCCUGGUGAUGUGUGCCUGUAGUCCCAGCUACUCAGGAGGCUGAGGCAGGAGAAUCGCUUGAACCCAAGAGAUGGAGGUUGUAGUGAGCCAAGAUCGUGCCACUACACUCCAGCCUGGGCAACAGAGUGAAACUCUGUCUCAAAAAAAAAAAAAAAAAAAAAAGGCUGGGUGCAAUGGCUCAUGCCUGUAAUCCCAGCACUUUGGAAGGCCGAGUUGGGUGGAUCAGCUGAGGUCAGGCGUUCAAGACCAGCCUGACCAACAUGGAGAAACCCUGUCUCUACUAAAAAUACAAAAAUUAGCUGGGUGUGGUGGCACCUGUAAUCUCAGCUACUCGAGAGGCUGAGGCAGGAGAAUCGCUUGAACCCAGGAGGCA
This 1163-nucleotide long non-coding RNA is filed under the name Homo sapiens (human). Its description in RNAcentral is "HSALNT0220324". Lineage: Eukaryota; Metazoa; Chordata; Mammalia; Primates; Hominidae. The record is from RNAcentral.